GGCCGAGAGAGGCCACCGGCCCUUUGUUGAUCUGCGAGAAAUCAAACUACGAACACGACAAGCAUUAGCCUGCAGCUCGAGGAGACAAGGAAUAAAUCCAACUUGAUCAUAACAUCCAACUGUGUUGCCCAGGCUAGUCUCAAACUCCUGGAUUCAAGAGCCCCUCUCCUCUCAGCCUACGAAAGUGCUGGGAUUAAAGUCCUGAACUGACAGCCACAAGUGGCACCUGAACAGGGACUUGAACAAAGAAGGUCUGCUGGAGCAGAAAAAGUGAAACUGACCAGAUGAAUGAGAAACCCUGGGAUGAGUCUGCCUGCAGAGGAUAUAAGGAGAUGGAUAAACCGUGUGAGUGCCCUCAAGUUGUGUGCGACCAUGGAAUGGGAGACUGGAGGGAUACAUGGAUCCCAACUACAGGCCCAGCUCCUCCAGUAUGAGCCAUGAGCCAGUUGAAUCUGAAUGUGAAGAUGGAAUGAAGACCGACGAGAGUCACACUGACGUCAACCCUCAUAACAUGGGGUCAGAUCAAGAAAACCACACCAGAAGCUGAGAAACUGGUGUAGUGCCAGGGUCAGGCAAAAACCCCUGACUCCAUGUUUAUGGCCAUGCUAGCUGUAAUAUCCUGUGCAGUAUGAUUUUUCUGUGCAGAAGCAAAAACAUAUUGGGCAUAUUUUCCUAACCCACCGGUAGUGUGAUCAUACUCUGAAGCAGCACUCCUCCUGAGAUAUAUCAUGAUCAAGGAGCAUCAGUACCAGGACCUCUAACUCCCCCUGACACAGAGCAAUUAGACUCUCAUAACAAUGGUAUCAAUUAUACCACUCCAUUGGAGGGACUUCCUUUAUGUGUCACCCAGGAUACAUUGCUCAACUGCAGUUGCCUUGCAGUUUGAUCCCAAGCAUGGUUGAGUUACCAUUAAAAAAUUAUGUACCUAUUAGACCUUAGCUUUAUUAAUAUUACUUGUGUAGUUACUAAUCACUCCUGGCCCCAUCACCCAAAUUGUACUGAUUAUACAGAAUGGGCUCCCUUUGAUAAUUCUCACCCCCCUCCUUGGGCCCACUGUCUUGGCCCCUUAGCUAGACAAUAGUCCAUGUUAAUGGGAGACAUUAUUGACUGGGGUCCCUGUGGUCAUUAAGAUGGGAGAGAUGAGAAUCAGACCACAUGGCAUAAACUUCACUGGCACUGGUGGCGAAACUUUAACAUCUCUUCACUUCAACACACUGGGAUUCAAUCCCAAUCUGCCAUGCAACUUGCUUGGCAUGGAACGGGCUUUAGCCCACCUUUGCCUCAAUGGCAUUAUCAAGGAAAGAGAGGUCCAAUUCAGGAGUCUAUGUGGAAGGCAGCACUCCCAUAUAUGAAUGGCAGCAUUUGGGUUGGGACACUAUCCAAUAAUAGUAAUAGUGCUCAAUACAGUUUAAUGUUACCUUUGUAAAAAAUGUUUGAAAUUUGUGUUUUUAAUCCCUAUGUUUUUCUAGCAGCAAAAAAGGACCAACUCCAGUCUGUAAAAUCAACUGGAACACCAACCAGCAAUUGAGAGCUGAACAGCCUGCAAUUACCUUUAUUCAAUUAAAUCAAAAGCAGAAAGGGGGAGAUGUUGGAGGCUGAAAGAAUGAGGGUCAUGACCAACUCAGUAUACCACUGGAGGCUAUGUGAGCAAACAGCAAACUGUUCUCAUGAAUACAGGAUAUUGGCAAGCUGACAGCUGCAUCUGCCACCAGAAGGAAUGCUGAGGACAGUCAUGCAUCAGGCACAGUGUUCCUUGUAGUUAUCUAUAGGAACAUCUGGACCCUGUUGUAUAAAGAAAGCAAUUAUUUGAGCCUGUGAUAAAUCAAGCAGCUGACUAAAACUGUUACCUCUUCCUCCCUGUUGAUUCUACCUAAUACAUGUGAAGGGCUGUAUAAGCUCAGGGCCCUUGUUCCCUAGAAGCAAGGAGCCCCCUGACCCCUUCUUUACAACAAAUCUUUUUGUUUUUGUCUUCAUUUCUGCAUUCAUCCUCCUUCGUUCAGUCCCGAACCGACAGCCACAUGAUCUGGCAAUCCCAUUUCUGGAUAUCUAUAUAAAUGUUCAAAGCAGGACCUGAAAGAAACAUUUCACACCCCUGUUUAUAAGAGAUUUAUUCUAAAAAUCCAAAAGGUAGAAGCUACUUGAAUGUCCCUUGACAGAUAA
Molecule: long non-coding RNA, 2160 nt
Filed under: Homo sapiens (human)
Lineage: Eukaryota; Metazoa; Chordata; Mammalia; Primates; Hominidae
Description: HSALNT0385576
Source: RNAcentral